CUACGGGGGGCUCCAGUGAGGAAUAUUGCACAAUGGGGGGAACCCUGAUGCAGCAACGCCGCGUGGAGGAUGACGCAUUUCGGUGUGUAAACUCCUUUUAUAUGUCAAGAAAAUGACGGUAGCAUAUGAAUAAGCACCGGCUAACUCCGUGCCAGCAGCCGCGGUAAUACGGAGGGUGCAAGCGUUACUCGGAAUCACUGGGCGUAAAGGACGCGUAGGCGGGUUAGAAAGUCAGGUGUGAAAUCCUACAGCUUAACUGUAGAACUGCAUUUGAAACUUCUAAUCUAGAGUAUGGGAGGGGGAGAUGGAAUUAGUGGUGUAGGGGUAAAAUCCGUAGAUAUCACUAGGAAUACCUAAAGCGAAGGCGAUCUCCUGGAACAUUACUGACGCUAAGGCGUGAAAGCGUGGGGAGCAAACAGGAUUAGAUACCCCGGUAGUC
This 439-nucleotide ribosomal RNA is filed under the name uncultured bacterium. RNAcentral describes it as "partial 16S ribosomal RNA". It matches the Rfam family "Bacterial small subunit ribosomal RNA", at positions 339 to 795 of the family's 1533-position model. The record is from RNAcentral.